Molecule: ribosomal RNA, 253 nt
Filed under: uncultured bacterium
Lineage: Bacteria
Description: partial 16S ribosomal RNA
Rfam family: Bacterial small subunit ribosomal RNA
Source: RNAcentral
CACGUAGGGGGGCAAGCGUUGUCCGGAUUUAUUGGGCGUAAAGAGCUCGUAGGUGGCUUAGUAAGUCGGGUGUGAAACCUCCAGGCUCAACCUGGAGACGCCACCCGAUACUGCUAUAGCUUGAGUCCGGUAGGGGAGCGUGGAAUUCCUGGUGUAGCGGUGAAAUGCGCAGAUAUCAGGAGGAACACCAGCGGCGAAGGCGGCGCUCUGGCCGGUACUGACACUGAGGAGCGAAAGCAUGGGAGCGAACAGG